This 254-nucleotide ribosomal RNA is filed under the name uncultured bacterium. RNAcentral's name for it is "partial 16S ribosomal RNA". It matches the Rfam family "Bacterial small subunit ribosomal RNA", at positions 524 to 776 of the family's 1533-position model. The record is from RNAcentral.
UACAGAGGUCCCAAGCGUUGUUCGGAUUCACUGGGCGUAAAGGGUGCGUAGGUGGCUACUUUAAGUUUGAUGUGAAAGCUCCGGGCUCAACCCGGAAAUGGCAUUGAAGACUAUUGAGCUAGAGGUUUGGAGGGGGGACUGGAAUGCUUGGUGUAGCAGUGAAAUGCGUAGAUAUCAAGCGGAACACCGGUGGCGAAGGCGAGUCCCUGGACAACACCUGACACUGAGGCACGAAAGCUAGGGGAGCAAACAGG